UGGGGAAUUUUGGACAAUGGGGGAAACCCUGAUCCAGCCAUCCCGCGUGUGCGAUGAAGGCCUUCGGGUUGUAAAGCACUUUUGGCAGGAAAGAAACGUCGCGGGUUAAUACCCCGCGAAACUGACGGUACCUGCAGAAUAAGCACCGGCUAACUACGUGCCAGCAGCCGCGGUAAUACGUAGGGUGCAAGCGUUAAUCGGAAUUACUGGGCGUAAAGCGUGCGCAGGCGGUUCGGAAAGAAAGAUGUGAAAUCCCAGAGCUUAACUUUGGAACUGCAUUUUUAACUACCGGGCUAGAGUGUGUCAGAGGGAGGUGGAAUUCCGCGUGUAGCAGUGAAAUGCGUAGAUAUGCGGAGGAACACCGAUGGCGAAGGCAGCCUCCUGGGAUAACACUGACGCUCAUGCACGAAAGCGUGGGGAGCAAACAGGAUUAGAUACCCUGGGUAGUCCACGCCCUAAACGAUGUCAACUAGCUGUUGGGGCCUUCGGGCCUUGGUAGCGCAGCUAACGCGUGAAGUUGACCGUCUGGGGAGUACGGUCGGCAAGA
Molecule: ribosomal RNA, 547 nt
Filed under: uncultured bacterium
Lineage: Bacteria
Description: partial 16S ribosomal RNA
Rfam family: Bacterial small subunit ribosomal RNA
Source: RNAcentral